RNAcentral lists this ribosomal RNA (1000 nucleotides) under Myxozoa sp. OBTC 4. Its description in RNAcentral is "SSU rRNA". It matches the Rfam family "Eukaryotic small subunit ribosomal RNA", at positions 157 to 886 of the family's 1831-position model. Lineage: Eukaryota; Metazoa; Cnidaria; Myxozoa. The record is from RNAcentral.
UCUAGAGCUAAUACAUGCGAAAAAAGCUUGUAGGGGUGAGUAAUCAACCUUGCAGGUGAUGCAUUUAUUAGAUUAAGCCAAUCAAUGUUUGGAACAGUUAAUAGCUGUUUCAACGUUGCUGUGGUGAGUCUGGAUAACUGUGCCGAUCGUAUGGCCUAGAGCCGGCGACAUUUCGAUUAAAUUUCUGCCCUAUCAACUUGUUGGUAAGGUAGUGGCUUACCAAGGUGAUAACGGGUAACGGGGAAUCAGGGUUCGAUUCCGGAGAGGGAGCCUGAGAAAUGGCUACCACAUCCAAGGACGGCAGCAGGCGCGCAAAUUACCCAAUCCAGACACUGGGAGGUGGUGACGAGAAAUACCAGGUCGGUCCCAAAAGGAUUCGACACUGGAAUGAGUUCAAUUUAAGAAUUUGAAUGAGUAGCAACUGGAGGGCAAGUCUGGUGCCAGCAGCCGCGGUAAUUCCAGCUCCAGUAGUGUAUCCAAACGUUGCUGCGGUUAAAACGCUCGUAGUUGGACAAUAGAGUAAUUUAGUGCGGGCGGGAGAUGUAAUUGCUCCAUGUAACUGACUAUUAUGAGUAGUAUAAAGUGGGAAGAAUGAGAUGGGUGGUAAAAGUAAGAUGGCUAUGAUGAAAGUUGUGGUUGUUUUAUUUUUAUUGCUCAUUUUGUUGUUUCAUUUCUUUUGCUUAUUUGUAAUAGUAAAUAGUGCAUGGUAGUAGCAUCUGUCGACCAUGCAGCUAAGUUACUUGUAAUGUUUCGUGAGAAUAGUACAUGAUCUUAAUUGUAUUGUGUACCAUGUCUUACGUAGUGUGCCUUGAAUAAAUCAGAGUGCUCAAAGCAAGCUAAUUGCUUGAAUGUUAAUAGCAUGGAACGAAUGUUUAGUGGAAGUGUAUCAAUGUGCACCUAUGAGUACUUGUGCUUGUAGGCGCGUGUUGAUACACAGCACCAACCACGAAGCGGAACAUUGGUUACCGACUUCGGGUGAGGAUUAAAAGGGGCAUUUGGG